This 866-nucleotide long non-coding RNA is filed under the name Hordeum vulgare. Its description in RNAcentral is "long non-coding RNA (HVUL_LNC005848)". The record is from RNAcentral. Lineage: Eukaryota; Viridiplantae; Streptophyta; Magnoliopsida; Poales; Poaceae.
AGAGAGAGUGGGAGAAUAGCUUGUGACACUGAUGACAACACACUCAUCACAGAAUCGAUGACUGAUAUUCCCAAAUUCCAAAGGCCAUACAAGAUGUCCAGGUUCAGUACUCGAUCCCUGUCAUCCUUCAAAGUUCAUAGCCCCAGAUGAUGACUGGUUUCAAAGCAGAGGAGAUACUUGGAGAGGGCAUGGAGAUGGAGAUCGGGAUACUUAGGGUCUAAGUAUCUUUGGAGAAACAUCAUUCGCAGAGGCGAGAAAAUAGCGACACGACGGGAGCUUUUCUUCUUCCUCAUGGGGUAGGAGGAGGAGAAGACGCUGUCGGCGUCUUGCAUAGAGUUCCCUCAUUCACACUUCUUGGCUCUCUAGUUCGUCGUCGUUCGUUCAGGUAGGGAGGGUUUUAUUCCUGCAAUUCCCUUGUGUUGUUCCUCGUGGAGACGGUCUUGCAAUUUUUUUGUGAGGACAGUUUUGGGCAAGCAAACCCGAUUUGUCCUUUAUUAUGACAAACUAACUAGCAACUAAAGCAAAGACACAAAUAAUACAAUACUGUUCAAGCAAAACUCAUUAUAUGUGAUGAAUAAAAAUAUAGCUCCAAGUAAAAUUACCGAUGGUUUUUAGAACAAAAAGAGAAUGCCUUCCGGGGCAUCCCCAAGCUUAGCUACUUGGUACUCCUUAGAUAUUUCCUUGAGGUGCCAUGGGCAUCCCCAAGCUUAGGCUUUUAUCGCUCCAUGUUCCAUCAUCCGUCGUGAUCUCACUCAAAACAUGAAAACUUCAAUCACACAAAACUCAACAAAAUUUCGUGAGAUCCUUAGUGUAAGAAAACCAAACUAUACUAUAAGUACUGUUGAAAACCUAUUCCAAUUUUGUUU